GCCGAGCCUGGUAGCGAUGGCUUGUUACCCAAGCGGGGGCAUUGAGGUGGUGGAAUGAAUGUGAGAGCCAAGCGGGUGGGGUGUGGACGUGUAAAUCUCGGCUUGCCCGUUCCAAGUCUUGCAGCUGAACCAUGCGGUCUGGGCGAAGGCUCGGGUCGCAUUGGAUCUUAAAGCGGAGGGCACAGCGUCAGGCUGGCUUCACAGAGCAGCGAAUACCUCCCGCUCUCGACGGUGGAAGGAUAACAAGUCGGCGCACGCCUCACCCAUAUACCCACUUGGCUAAUACUGAUCAAACCAUCACUUUU
RNAcentral lists this signal recognition particle RNA (305 nucleotides) under Musa acuminata subsp. malaccensis (wild Malaysian banana). RNAcentral describes it as "Plant signal recognition particle RNA". It matches the Rfam family "Plant signal recognition particle RNA". Lineage: Eukaryota; Viridiplantae; Streptophyta; Magnoliopsida; Zingiberales; Musaceae. The record is from Rfam by way of RNAcentral.